GACGAACGCUGGCGGCGUGCCUAAUACAUGCAAGUCGAACGAACCGCGACUAAGUGCUUGCACUAAGUCAAGGUGAGUGGCGAACGGGUGAGUAACACGUGGGUAACCUACCUCAUAGUGGGGGAUAACAGUCGGAAACGACUGCUAAUACCGCAUAGGACAUAGGAUCACAUGAUCCAGUGAGGAAAGGUGGCGCAAGCUAUCGCUACGAGAUGGACCCGCGGUGCAUUAGCUAGUUGGUAGGGUAAAGGCCUACCAAGGCGAUGAUGCAUAGCCGACCUGAGAGGGUGAUCGGCCACAUUGGGACUGAGACACGGCCCAAACUCCUACGGGAGGCAGCAGUAGGGAAUCUUCCGCAAUGGACGCAAGUCUGACGGAGCAACGCCGCGUGAGUGAAGAAGGUCUUCGGAUCGUAAAGCUCUGUUGUUAGAGAAGAACAGCGCAUAGAGUAACUGCUAUGCGUGUGACGGUAUCUAACCAGAAAGCCACGGCUAACUACGUG
This 502-nucleotide ribosomal RNA is filed under the name uncultured bacterium. RNAcentral's name for it is "partial 16S ribosomal RNA". It matches the Rfam family "Bacterial small subunit ribosomal RNA", at positions 28 to 507 of the family's 1533-position model. The record is from RNAcentral.